AAAAUUCCACUUAAAAUUCAAAUAUUCCUUUGGCAGCUGUUCCAAGAUGUUGUCUUGACAAGAGAUGUCAUGAAGCGAAGACGCUGGGCUGGUAAUCCGAAAUGUUCAUUUUGUAGAGACAGAGAGACCUCUCAGCAUCUCUUCUUUACAUGUCCUGUAGCCAGAGUGGUCUGGAGGACGGUGGGCUGUGCUUUGGGUACUGAUAGAUGCCCAAACAAUAUUUCACAAUUUUUUUCCUGGUGUUAUGUUUUCCUCCCUGAUGGUGAAAGAUUUUACACCUUCGGAUUAGCGGCCAUUUGUUGGGCAAUUUGGAAUUGUCGCAACCAAGCUACCUUUGAACUGAAAAAUCUUAAAACCCCUUUUGCUGUGAGCUUUUCAGCAUGUGGCUGGAUGAUGAAUGGAGAGGAUCGGGAGAUGAUAGAACGGGGGUCCAAGAUGUUGAAGGCCAGCGCUUCAGCCAUUAUGAGGAUCUGCGCAGCGCCGGGUGAGAAGAUGCUGGACUGA
RNAcentral lists this ribosomal RNA (504 nucleotides) under Triticum aestivum (bread wheat). RNAcentral describes it as "partial small subunit ribosomal RNA". The record is from RNAcentral. Lineage: Eukaryota; Viridiplantae; Streptophyta; Magnoliopsida; Poales; Poaceae.